This 254-nucleotide ribosomal RNA is filed under the name uncultured bacterium. Its description in RNAcentral is "partial 16S ribosomal RNA". It matches the Rfam family "Bacterial small subunit ribosomal RNA", at positions 524 to 776 of the family's 1533-position model. The record is from RNAcentral.
CACGUAGGGUGCGAGCGUUGUCCGGAAUUAUUGGGCGUAAAGAGCUCGUAGGCGGUGUGUCGCGUCGGCCGUGAAAACCUGCAGCUUAACUGUGGGCUUGCGGUCGAUACGGGCAUCACUGGAGUUCGGCAGGGGAGACUGGAAUUCUUGGUGUAGCGGUGAAAUGCGCAGAUAUCAGGAGGAACACCGGUGGCGAAGGCGGGUCUCUGGGCCGAUACUGACGCUGAGGAGCGAAAGCGUGGGGAGCGAACAGG